This is a long non-coding RNA of Clupea harengus (Atlantic herring), 1115 nucleotides long. NCBI's taxonomy places the organism in Eukaryota, Metazoa, Chordata, Actinopteri, Clupeiformes, Clupeidae. The record is from Ensembl.
CAGCUGUUGGUAGAGGGCGCUUUGAGAGUUGCUAUAAUCAGGAUUGAAGAUUUGGAGCAGCACAACGCGUAUUCCGAUCAUGUAACGUGGACGGUUUGUUGCAGCUGUUGUUGUUGUAGUUGUUGUUGUUGUGGGUUUUGUUGUGGUGGUUGUUGUGGGGGCUGUUGUGGUAGUUGCCGCAGCUGUUGUGGUAGUUGCAGCAGCUGUUGUAGGGGCUUUUGUGGUAGUGGUGGUAGCUGUUGUGGGUGCUGUUGUGGCUGUCGUUGUAGUUACACCAACUGUUGUGGUAGCUGUUGUGGUAGUGGUGGGAGCUGUUGUGGUAGUUGCUGCAGCUGUUGUGGCUGUCGUUGUAGUUGCAGCAACUGUUGUGGUAGCUGUUGUGGUAGUGGUGGGAGCUGUUGUGGUAGUUGCAGCAGCUGUUGUGGGGGCGUUUGUGGUAGUGGUGGGAGCUGUUGUGGUAGUUGCUGCAGCUGUUGUGGUGGUUGCAGCAGCUGUUGUGGUAGUUGCUGGAGCUGUUGUGGUGGUUGCAGCAGCUGUUGUGGUAGUUGGAGCAGCUGUUGUGGUAGUUGCAUCAGCUGUUGUGGUAAUUGCAUCAGCUGUUGUGGUAGUUUCUGGAGCUGUUGUGGGUGCUGUUGUGGUGGUUGCAGCAGCUGUUGUGGUAGUUUCUGGAGCUGUUGUGGUGGUUGCUGGAGCUGUUGUGGUGGUUGCAGCAGCUGUUGUGGUAGUUGGAGCAGCUGUUGUUGUAGUUUCCGGAGCGGUUGUGGGUGCUGUUGUGGUAGUGGUGACAGCUGUUGUGGGUGCUGUUGUGGUAGUUGCAGCAGCUGCUGUGGUAGUUGCAUCAGCUGUUGUGGGGGCGAUUGUGGUAGUGGUGGGAGCUGUUGUGGUAGUGGUGAGAGCUGUUGUGGGUGCCGUUGUUGUAGUUGCAGCAGCUGUUGUGGUAGUUGCAGCAGCUGUUGUGGUAGUUGCCGGAGCUGUUGUGGUAGUUGUAGUUGCUGUUGUGGGGGCCAUUGUGGGUGCUGUUGUGGUAGUUUCUGGAGCUGUUGUGGUGGUUGCUGGAGCAGUUGUGGUAAUUUCUGGAGCUGUUGUGGUGGUUGCAACAGCUGUUGUGGUAGUUG